This is a long non-coding RNA of Triticum aestivum (bread wheat), 1000 nucleotides long. RefSeq lists it as uncharacterized. Lineage: Eukaryota; Viridiplantae; Streptophyta; Magnoliopsida; Poales; Poaceae. The record is from RefSeq and is a predicted model, not a curated record. The transcript is spliced from 5 exons.
AUCUACUCCAUCUCCUUGACUCCCACCCCACCGAUCUACGCCGCCGCCGCCACGCUCACAGGAAACCUCAUACGCCUUCGCCAUCGAGUUCAUUCGCCGCGCCCUGCUCCCAACUUCAUCCCCGUUUCUCCACUCUCCGUCGUUGCGUCGACCUACUCGCCACCCGGGCUCUCCCUAAUUCACCGACUUGGUCCGGCGGAGACCAUAAGGAUGCUGAGGAGCACCAAGCCCGUAGCGCCGUACAGGCUGAGCCAGGUCAGACCGUUUCCCGGAGUCCCCAGGGCGAGGCGGAGACGGCCAGACACAUCACUCAUUGGCGGCCGCGUGUACACGUAACACACGUGGAAGCGCGCCCUGGUGUCUAACUCGGCGGCUCAUAUCCUGAUUUCCUUCCUGGCCUUCAAUUCAAUUGGCUGCAAGCUCUCAGUUCCUUCAUCUGAUGCGAUGAUGCCUCCUGUGUCUUUUAUGGGACAAAGUGUACUCGAUCACUACCAAGGAAACAACUUCAGGUUUAUAUUUGUGGAUUAUAGAUACGUACUAUGACAAGUAAUUAAUGCUAGAUAGCAAGACAACCACAGAGCUCUGUCCUCACCCCCAUCGAUGGUCGCGGUGCUCCACCAACCGCCGCCCUCACCCCAACAGACGACAGAAGCACUCCUUCGACCACCAUCACAAAAUGCAGGAUGAUAUGCAAGUCAUCUUUUGGAUGGACAAAGAAGUAUCAAAACAAUUCUAGCUACCUUUGAGAAGUCAGGAGAAGAGCCAACCAACAAAUGUUCCCUAUUUUGAUGAAGAGAGCUAUACAAUUAUGUCCAGUAUUUAGAACUACACUCAUUUGUUAAUCUAGUACAUACUGUCUAUUGAUGCAACAUGUUGUAUGAGGUUGGUUUGUGGAUAGUGCUAAUUUAUUCGGGAAUGUGAAAUAGCCUGCUGUGUUGAGAACAUAUGAUGUGAAAAUACUAUGUGGUAGACUUGUUAAUGGAAAGAUGGGUUGAAACAA